UUAAGCUAGAAAGAGCGCAGGGUGGAUGCCUUGGCACUAAGAGCCGAUGAAAGACGUGAUAAGCUGCGAAAAGCUUCGGGGAGUGGCAAAUACACUUUGAUCCGGAGAUCUCUGAAUGGGGAAACCUGGCUGAGCAAACCUCAGUCGUCGUAUGGUGAAUACAUAGCCAUGCGUCGGGAACCUGGUGAACUGAAACAUCUAAGUAGCCAGAGGAAAAGAAAACAACAUGUGAUUUCCAAAGUAGCGGCGAGCGAAAUGGAAAGAGGCCAAACCGGCGUGCGUGCAUGCCGGGGUUCGGACCGCGGAAUUGAUUCAGUGAGUUUAAUGGAAAGGUUUUGGGAAAGCCUGCCAAAGAGGGUGAAAGCCCCGUACAUGAAAGACGAGCUGACAUGGCGGUAUCCAGAGUACCACGAGACACGAGAAACCUUGUGGGAACACGCGGGGACCACCCCGUAAGCCUAAAUACUCCUUAGUGACCGAUAGCGCAUAGUACUGUGAAGGAACGGUGAAAAGAACCCCGGGAGGGGAGUGAAAGAGAACCUGAAACCCUGUGUUUACAAGCUGUGGAACAUCUUUAUAUGAUGAACCGCGUACUUUUUGUAGAACGGUCCGGCGAGUUACGCUGGCUGGCGAGGUUAAGGACUAAAGGUCCGGAGCCGAAGGGAAACCAAGUCUUAAUAGGGCGAGUUAAGUCAGUCAGAGUAGACCCGAAACCGGGUGAUCUACCCAUGUCCAGGAUGAAGUUGCCGUAAAAGGCAAUGGAGGUCCGAACACACAUCCGUUGAAAAGGGUGGUGAUGAGGUGUGGGUAGGGGAGAAAUUCCAAUCGAACCCGGAGAUAGCUGGUUCUCCUCGAAAUAGCUUUAGGGCUAGCCUCGGUUUAGUCUGCUGGAGGUAGAGCACUGAAUUUCCUAGGGGGCGUCAAAGCUUACCGAAGAAUAUCAAACUCCGAAUGCCAGCCAGAUGAUGACCGGGAGUCAGACUGCACGAGAUAAGUUGGGUAGUCAAAAGGGAAAGAGCCCAGACCACCGGCUAAGGUCCCAAAGUACGUGUUAAGUGGAAAAGGAUGUGGGAUUUCAAAGACAACCAGGAUGUUGGCUCAGAAGCAGCCAUACAUUCAAAGAGUGCGUAAUAGCUCACUGGUCGAGAGGUCCUGCGCCGAAAAUGUCCGGGGCUGAAACACGACACCGAAGCUGUGGAAUUGACGAAUGUUAAUUGGUAGAGGAGCAUUCUUAGCGGGAUGAAGCAGUACCGAAAGGAGCUGUGGACUUCUAAGAAGAGAGAAUGCCGGAAUGAGUAGCGAGAGAGAGGUGAGAAUCCUCUCGGCCGAAUAUCUAAGGUUUCCAGAGUAAAGCUGAUCUGCUCUGGGUAAGUCGGGACCUAAGGCGAGGUCGAAAGACGUAGUCGAUGGACAACAGGUUGAGAUUCCUGUACUGCUGUAUAACAGAACUGUGGGGACACAGAGGGAGAGUGCAACCCGGGAGUGGAAAGACCGGGGCAAGCGAGGUAGGAGUCACGUAGGCAAAUCCGCGUGACGAUCCGAAGACGUGACGCAUAGCGAAAUCAAGUAGCGAAUUGCAUGAGCCAGCUGUCGAGAAAAGCCGCUAUUGUUUGUACAGUACCCGUACCGUAAACCGACACAGGUGGAUGAGGAGAGAAUCCUAAGGCCGACGGAAGAAGCAUUGUUAAGGAACUCGGCAAAAUGACCCCGUAACUUCGGGAGAAGGGGUGCCCUGUGAAAGCAGGGCCGCAGUGAAAUGGCUCAAGCAACUGUUUAGCAAAAACACAGGUCUAUGCAAAACCGAAAGGUGAAGUAUAUGGGCUGACGCCUGCCCGGUGCUGGAAGGUUAAGAGGAGAGGUUAGCGCAAGCGAAGCUUUGAAUUUAAGCCCCAGUAAACGGCGGCCGUAACUAUAACGGUCCUAAGGUAGCGAAAUUCCUUGUCGGGUAAGUUCCGACCCGCACGAAAGGCGUAAUGAUUUGAGCACUGUCUCG
RNAcentral lists this ribosomal RNA (1993 nucleotides) under metagenome. RNAcentral describes it as "bacterial LSU rRNA". It matches the Rfam family "Bacterial large subunit ribosomal RNA", at positions 3 to 2023 of the family's 2925-position model. The record is from RNAcentral.